RNAcentral lists this ribosomal RNA (254 nucleotides) under uncultured bacterium. RNAcentral describes it as "partial 16S ribosomal RNA". It matches the Rfam family "Bacterial small subunit ribosomal RNA", at positions 524 to 776 of the family's 1533-position model. The record is from RNAcentral.
CACGUAGGGGGCGAGCGUUGUCCGGAUUUACUGGGCGUAAAGGGCGCGUAGGCGGCUUGACAAGUCACUUGUGAAAUCUCCGGGCUUAACUCGGAACGGCCAAGUGAAACUGUCAUGCUAGAGUGCAGAAGGGGCAAUCGGAAUUCUUGGUGUAGCGGUGAAAUGCGUAGAUAUCAAGAGGAACACCUGAGGUGAAGACGGGUUGCUGGGCUGACACUGACGCUGAGUGCGCGAAAGCCAGGGGAGCAAACGGG